CCUACGGGAGGCAGCAGUGGGGAAUUUUGGACAAUGGGCGCAAGCCUGAUCCAGCCAUGCCGCGUGCGGGAAGAAGGCCUUCGGGUUGUAAACCGCUUUUGUCAGGGAAGAAAUCCUUUGGGCUAAUACCUCGGAGGGAUGACGGUACCUGAAGAAUAAGCACCGGCUAACUACGUGCCAGCAGCCGCGGUAAUACGUAGGGUGCGAGCGUUAAUCGGAAUUACUGGGCGUAAAGCGUGCGCAGGCGGUUAUGCAAGACAGAUGUGAAAUCCCCGGGCUUAACCUGGGAACUGCAUUUGUGACUGCAUAGCUCGAGUACGGCAGAGGGGGAUGGAAUUCCGCGUGUAGCAGUGAAAUGCGUAGAUAUGCGGAGGAACACCGAUGGCGAAGGCAAUCCCCUGGGCCUGUACUGACGCUCAUGCACGAAAGCGUGGGGAGCAAACAGGAUUAGAUACCCUGGUAGUCCACGCCCUAAACGAUGUCAACUGGUUGUUGGACGGCUUGCUGUUCAGUAACGAAGCUAACGCGUGAAGUUGACCGCCUGGGGAGUACGGCCGCAAGGUUGAAACGUUAAAGGAAUUGACGG
This 586-nucleotide ribosomal RNA is filed under the name uncultured bacterium. Its description in RNAcentral is "bacterial SSU rRNA". It matches the Rfam family "Bacterial small subunit ribosomal RNA", at positions 338 to 916 of the family's 1533-position model. The record is from RNAcentral.